UCACUGGAGUUUAAUUUAGGGCUUUCCGGGAGAUUACUGGGAGCUUUUUGGGGUUUACUGGGAAUGCUGGGGGUGACUGGGAUCAGUGGGUUAUGGAGGGCACUGAGGGUUACUGAGAGCUCAGGGAGGCCCUUGGAAUUACUGGGAUCACUGGGAAUUCCUGGGUUGCUGCAGGGAUUACUGGGAGCUUGGGGAGCUCUGUGGGGAGGGGUGGACCCCUAUAUCCACCCCUAUAUCCACCCCUAUAUCCACCCCUAUAUCCACCCCUAUAUCCACCCCUAUAUCCACCCCUAUAUCCACCCCUAUAUCCACCCCAGUCACCUUCUCUGGUGUCCCAUCCUGGGGGACACCGACCCCAUGGGUGACUCCUCGUCACCAGCCCCGUCUCCCUCUCUGGGGAGGUUUUGGGGGCUCCAGGGACCUCUCUGAGGUGACCUCAGUGGCCCUGGGGCUCCGUUUUGGGGGGUCCCGAGCCCCCCACCCCACAAAGGAGCCGGCGUUUGGUGACAAACGGAGGUGGUGGAGGAAGGUGUGGGGUGACUUUGUCUUCUCUCCCUGUCUCAGUGUUUGACUGCCCCGUGUGCCACCAGCAGUGUCCCCUGGGUGACAUCAUGGAGAACUUCUUCCUGCAGGAGAGCGUGGCUGGGACAGCCCUGGGCCAGGGCAGCGGGCAGAGCUGCACCAGCUGCGAGGACAACGCAGCAGCCACCAGCUUCUGCCUGGAGUGUGCGGAGCCGCUGUGUGACACCUGCGUGGACGCGCAUCAGAGGGUCAGGUACACCCGGGACCACACUGUGCGGGCCUUGGGUGAGUCCUUGUCACCCCCCUGUCACCUCUGUCACCCCCUGUCACCUCUGUCCCUGCCCUCUACGAGGUGCUGACCCUGUCAGUGCACCCAUCCCGGUGCUGUUCCCAGCGUCACCCCGAUGUCAUUCCCGUGUUCUCUCGGUGUCAUCCUGGUGCCAUCCUGGUGCUGUUCCUGGCCCUAUCCCAGUUCUGUUCCUGUGCCAUUCCCAGUGCCAUCCCAACACCAUUCCCAAUCCUAUCCCAGUUCUGUUCCUGUGCCAUUCCCAGUGCCAUUCCAGUGCCAUACCAGCACCAUUCCCAGUGCCAUCCCAGCACCAUUCCUGGUGCCAUUCCCAGUGCCAUCCCGGUUCUGUUCCUGUGCCGUUCCCAGUGCCAUUCCAGCACCAUUCCCGUGCCAUUCCCAGUGCCAUCCCGGUGCCAUGCCCAAUCCUAUCCCAGUUCUAUUCUUGUGCCAUUCCCAGUGCCAUCCUCGUGCCAUUCCUGUGCCAUUCCCAGUGCCAUUCCAGCACCAUUCCUGGUGCCAUUCCCACUGCCAUCCUGGUGCCAUUCCCAGCCCUAUUCCAGUUCUGUUCCCAUGCCAUUGCCAGUGCCAUUCUUGUGCCAUUCUUGUGCCAUCCUGGUGCCAUUCCCAGUGCCAUUCCUAUGGCGUUGCCAGUGCUAUUCCAUCACCAUUCCUGUGCCAUUCCCAGUGCCAUUCCAGCACCAUUCCUGGUACCAUUCCCGGUCCUAUUCUAGUUCUGUUCCCAUACCAUUGCCAGUGCCAUCUCUGUGCCAUCCUGUGCCAUUCCUGUCCCUAUUCUGGUUCUGUUCCUGUGCCUUUCCCAGUGCCAUCUUGGUGCCAUUCCCAGUGCCAUCCCAGUUCUGUUCCAGUGCCAUUCCCAGUGCCAUCCUGGUGCCAUUCCCAGUGCCAUCCCAGUUCUGUUCCAGUGCCAUUCCCAGUGCCAACCCUGUGCCAUUCCUGGUACCAUCCCAGCACCAUUCCUGGUACCAUACCCAGUGCCAUCCUGGUGCCGUUCCCAAUCCUAUCCCAAUUCUGUUCUUGUGCCAUUCCCAGUGCCAUCCUGGUACCAUUCCCAGUGCCAUUCCCAGUGCCAUUCCCAGUGCCAUCCUGGUACCAUUCCCAGUGCCAUCCUGGUACCAUUCCCAGUGCCAUCCUGGUGCCAUUCCCGGUGCCAUUCCCGGUGCCAUUCCCAGUGCCAUUCCCAGUGCCAUCCUGAUACCAUUCCCAGUGCCAUUCCCAGUGCCAUCCUGGUACCAUUCCCAUGCCAUUCCCGGUGCCAUCCCGGCACCAUUCCUGGUCCUGUGCUGGCUCCAUCCCGGUGCUGUUCUCAGUUUGGUCCUGGUGUGAUCCCAGCACCGUUACCGGUACCAUUCCUGGUGCCAUCCCAGCAGCAUUCCCAGCCCUAUCCCAGUUCCUCCUGGGACCAUCCCAGUGCCAUUCCUGGUACCGUUCCCAGUGCCAUCCCAGUGCCAUUCCUGGUGCCAUCCCAGCAGCAUUCCCAGCCCUAUCCCAGUUCCUCCUGGGACCAUCCCAGUUCCAUUCCUGGUACCGUUCCCAGUGCCAUCCCAGUGCCAUUCCUGGUGCCAUCCCAGCAGCAUUCCCAGCCCUAUCCCAGUUCCUCCUGGGACCAUCCCAGUGCUAUUCCCGGUGCCAU
Molecule: long non-coding RNA, 2462 nt
Organism: Cyanistes caeruleus (blue tit)
Lineage: Eukaryota; Metazoa; Chordata; Aves; Passeriformes; Paridae
Source: Ensembl